CCUACGGGGGGCUGCAGUGAGGAAUAUUGGUCAAUGGACGAGAGUCUGAACCAGCCAAGUAGCGUGAAGGAUGACUGCCCUAUGGGUUGUAAACUUCUUUUAUAUGGGAAUAAAAUGUUCCACGUGUGGGAUUUUGUAUGUACCAUAUGAAUAAGGAUCGGCUAACUCCGUGCCAGCAGCCGCGGUAAUACGGAGGAUCCGAGCGUUAUCCGGAUUUAUUGGGUUUAAAGGGAGCUUAGGUGGUUUGUUAAGUCAGUUGUGAAAGUUUGCGGCUCAACCGUAAAAUUGCAGUUGAAACUGGCAGUCUUGAGUACAGUAGAGGUGGGCGGAAUUCGAGGUGUAGCGGUGAAAUGCUUAGAUAUCACGAAGAACUCCGAUUGCGAAGGCAGUUCACUGGACUGCAACUGACACUGAGGCUCGAAAGUGUGGGUAUCAAACAGGAUUAGAUACCCUGGUAGUC
This 460-nucleotide ribosomal RNA is filed under the name uncultured bacterium. RNAcentral describes it as "partial 16S ribosomal RNA". It matches the Rfam family "Bacterial small subunit ribosomal RNA", at positions 338 to 795 of the family's 1533-position model. The record is from RNAcentral.